GGAUUAGAUACCCUGGUAGUCCACGCCCUAAACGAUGUCUACUAGUUGUUGGGUCUUAAUUGACUUAGUAACGCAGCUAACGCGUGAAGUAGACCGCCUGGGGAGUACGGUCGCAAGAUUAAAACUCAAAGGAAUUGACGGGGACCCGCACAAGCGGUGGAUGAUGUGGAUUAAUUCGAUGCAACGCGAAAAACCUUACCUACCCUUGACAUGGCAGGAAUUCCGAAGAGAUUUGGAAGUGCUCGCAAGAGAACCUGCACACAGGUGCUGCAUGGCUGUCGUCAGCUCGUGCCG
RNAcentral lists this ribosomal RNA (294 nucleotides) under uncultured bacterium. RNAcentral describes it as "partial 16S ribosomal RNA". It matches the Rfam family "Bacterial small subunit ribosomal RNA", at positions 775 to 1067 of the family's 1533-position model. The record is from RNAcentral.